GCAAGCUGAGCGGGGCCCACGCCUCUCCUGGGUGGCCAGGUGGAUGCAGCUGGGCCGUCGUCUGAGCGGCCAGAGUGGGAGAAGGGUGAGCCCAGGCCCCAGUGCUCAGGAAGGCAGGCUCGCUGGUCAUCCACGGGCAGUGGGGGACAGCCGGUCGCAGGCCGAGACAUGGAGAGCCUGGGCAGAGGUUGACGGGAUGGGGCAGCGGGCCUUGCUGCCGCUGCCCACCCAAGGGCUCACCAGGUGCCCCCUGGCUGUCAGGGGUUCAUACCUGAGCAGGCGGGCUCCUCCAAGAGGGCUCUCCUGAGAGCAAGGAUGUGCUCAAUACCCGCCAGAUAACAGUCUUUCAUGGCAGCUGAGCCUUCCAGAAGCACAGAAGAUUGGGAUUGAGAGCCACGCAUCAGUAUAGCUCUGGACGAUUCUGAAGUCAUUCACCACCUAUUCAUUCAUCCUUUCAGUCCAACAAGCCCAUCAGACUGUCCACUCGCUGGGCACUGGCUUUCCCGACAUCCGAUCGGCAGUUUUAAGGAGGCAUUUCCCUCCUCCCUGGAAUUCCCGCCUCCGACAAGACCUUCAUUCAGCCCUCUCCUCCUGAGCCUGGGGAGGUGGGCGCCUAGAAACCUGGGGGCUCCCCUCUUGGCAUCAACCUGAGCGCACGUUUUCUGAAAUCGCAUCCUAACCAGAGUGAUUGCUCAUGCGUUAUUCAGGAUACUCCAUUAUUUUCUUAACUUCCUUGGUUGAAGGAACACUCAUGCUGCCUUAAGGCUGUGGAUGCUCAGGAAGCAUCGCUUUGGCUCAGUGUCUUGUCUGGAGUGUCGUCAGGAAAACUGUUCAGAAGGGCCGGAGUCUGGACACGAAAGUGAGAAGGGCGAAAUCUCCGGCCGGCGCCGUAAGCAAACGUCACUGACGCCCACACCCCAGAGACCAGAGUCCAGUGCGCCUGCCAUCUCUGGCUCAUAUCUGACCUCCAGUUUGCUUCACCGAGUGUCAGACACGACGGAAACCCAGCAGGGUUUACCUCACACUUCCCAAGUCUCGUGUGACGACACGGACACCGGGGCAAGCCCUCAUCCACCAAACC
This is a long non-coding RNA of Bos indicus x Bos taurus (hybrid cattle), 1081 nucleotides long. Lineage: Eukaryota; Metazoa; Chordata; Mammalia; Artiodactyla; Bovidae. The record is from Ensembl.